Molecule: ribosomal RNA, 215 nt
Filed under: uncultured bacterium
Lineage: Bacteria
Description: partial 16S ribosomal RNA
Rfam family: Bacterial small subunit ribosomal RNA
Source: RNAcentral
CCCAGUUCGGAUUGUAGGCUGCAACCCGCCUGCAUGAAGUUGGAAUUGCUAGUAAAUCGCGGAUCAGCAUGCCGCGGUGAAUACGUUCCCGGGGAUUGUACACACCGCCCGUCACACCAUGAGAGUCGGGAACACCCAAAGUCCGUAGUCUAACCGCAAGGAGGACGCGGCCUAAGGUGGGUUCGAUAAUUGGGGUGAAGUCGUAACAAGGUAGC